Molecule: ribosomal RNA, 435 nt
Filed under: uncultured bacterium
Lineage: Bacteria
Description: bacterial SSU rRNA
Rfam family: Bacterial small subunit ribosomal RNA
Source: RNAcentral
CAGGCCUCACACAUGCAAGUCGAACGCCCGAGCAAUCGGGAGUGGCAGACGGGUGAGUAACGCGUGGGAAUCUCCCCAGUUCUUCGGAAUAACUGAGGGAAACUUCAGCUAAUACCGGAUACGCCCCAAGGGGGAAAGAUUUAUCGGAAUUGGAUGAGCCCGCGUUGGAUUAGCUAGUUGGUGGGGUAAUGGCCUACCAAGGCUACGAUCCAUAGCUGGUCUGAGAGGAUGAUCAGCCACACUGGGACUGAGACACGGCCCAGACUCCUACGGGAGGCAGCAGUGGGGAAUAUUGGACAAUGGGCGCAAGCCUGAUCCAGCCAUGCCGCGUGAGUGAUGAAGGCCUUAGGGUUGUAAAGCUCUUUCAGUGGGGAAGAUAAUGACGGUACCCACAGAAGAAGCCCCGGCUAACUUCGUGCCAGCAGCCGCGGUAAU